This 87-nucleotide transfer RNA is filed under the name Discoplastis spathirhyncha. RNAcentral's name for it is "tRNA-Ser". It matches the Rfam family "tRNA". Rfam says of the family: Transfer RNA (tRNA) molecules are approximately 80 nucleotides in length. Their secondary structure includes four short double-helical elements and three loops (D, anti-codon, and T loops). The record is from RNAcentral. Lineage: Eukaryota; Euglenozoa; Euglenophyceae; Euglenales; Phacaceae.
GGAGAGGUGUCUGAGUGGUUUAAAGUACUGGUCUUGAAAACCAGCGUGAUGUUAUUGUCACCGAGGGUUCAAAUCCCUCCUUCUCCG